RNAcentral lists this long non-coding RNA (4206 nucleotides) under Volvox carteri. RNAcentral's name for it is "long non-coding RNA (VCAR_LNC000043)". The record is from RNAcentral. Lineage: Eukaryota; Viridiplantae; Chlorophyta; Chlorophyceae; Chlamydomonadales; Volvocaceae.
UUCAGGUCCGGUACUUACCGUGAUGGAUCGUAUGCUAGAAUGGAAACGUUCUACCCCCGAAAUGACACGUAAUACCUGUGACUUUACAAUAUUAUAAGUUUGUGUCCAUUACACAGAACCUGAGGGCGGCAUGGACGUUCUACUAAUGGAAAAUCCCACUCAGUUUCCGUUCAAAGUAAUCCUUGCAUUUAGCUCACACUAGACAGUAAAGCUGAAAAUUUGCCGUUAGAUAUUUGGCUACCUCCCUCAGGUGCUUAGGGAGCACAUACGCCCGGCACGUUCCCGUCGGAUUGCCUGUGGAACUACCUGGUACGCCUGUGCCCCUCAUGCUUCCGAAUAAUACAUAAUUAAUAAUGCAUUUUUGGCAUGUUGGCCUUUAUCCUUCCGUGUUGGAGCCUAACGCUGUCCGACGGCAAAGUGGGAACAGAUGCUACGCAAAGCUUGCAGUAACUCGUAUACGCCAAACCUCUAAAACUUUGUGUGACUUCGAUUUGGGAAUUUCCUGGCAGGUGGAACCUUGUUGAGCUGCGGAGAGCUUAGGCACUACUAGCAAUCGCACUAGUUUACCUGCUGAGCGCAGACUUCCGUUAUGCGCUGGAUGCUGAAAAUAUCGGUCAGCCCGACCAUGUCAAUGCGCCUGACAGCGCUUCUGCUGGUGGCCAUCUUUGCCUUCUCGCCUGAAGCCGUAUGGGGCGCCCGGCGACUUUUUGCAGCAGACUUUGCCACGGAAAUUGAGGAGGCAACUGGUCGAUGUCGUAACCACUCAGAACCUUGUCAUGACGGCUCCGAAGCACUCCUUGGCGAUCCAGACAUCUUAGACCUCCUCGACAUGGUUCAGGAAAGGGAGCCUGGUGAGCUGGUUCACACGAACUGUCAUCGUUUUCCCCCCUUGAAAGUGACUUUCAAGUAGACUUACCAGGAAAGGAAACUUUCAAAGCGAUUGUUGAGGCCUGUUCCGGCCGACUGCUCGCAUCCCAUAGUCCUAUAGGAAACAACUUGCUGUUCACCAACGAGUCCCGUGCAAGCCCGUUGUGCUUCAGUUCCACGCUCUCCCCCCUCGCCCACCCUCCCGCCACCUUUUUUCCGUUCCCAACGCACCGCCGCUCUGCCGUUUUCUGAAAACACCGUCAAAUCCAGUAAAAUCCAGCCAUAGUGCUGUGCACGUUUUGUUUGCACGCAUACUGAAUGCAACUGUUCACCUUAUAACGCGCGCUUCCCGCGCGCCAACGACCGACCGGCUGCCAUACAGACCCCAUGCGGCGCCGUACGCUCGCGAAUCCAUCCAUCCAUCUGGUCGCGCGCCAGGCUGUUAAAUUCUCACCCCUGCUUCCUCACCUUUCAUACCUUUGUGCGUAUUGUCCUGGUCUCCUCACCGCGGAUGCGCUUCCUGGCCCAAACUCCGCCCGCCCUGCCAUGCCAUGCCUCGCCCUACUGCAUGACGCACUGGGCUUUGCACCUCGAAGUUCUCUCCGGUCCGUACGGCGGCUACGGCGGCUAUGGCGGCUACGGUUGCUACGGUUGCUACGGUUGCUACGGUCAUCAUCAUGGCGGGUACGGCGAUACAUCCAGGGAAUCUGACGCGGACUUCGAGGAUCUGAUCUUCGUGGGGGCUGCCCUGGAGUUAUUGGACGAGCACACGAGUGUGAGCGACCGCGUGCGUGAAGCAGAGGAGGAAGCGCAACGACUCCUAGAGCAGGACGAAGGACGCCUAGAGGAGGCUAAUCUCUCGUAACACACACCUUUUGAUUGGGGAUCAGUUAUCAGGGGAUGUACGGCGGGCCAGGGCAAUAACGGUCAGGAGCCCUCAAGGGAUCUCCGCGCAUCUGAGUUUGGCUUGGUGGGGAGCAAGCCUUUUGGAUGGCUGGGCCUGAUUUUGCACCCAGUUAGUUGUCUUAGUUUAUUACAGUUAUCGCAGGCCCGGGUGGGGCCCCUAGGAGGCUUUUGCCAGCGCACGGAUUUGUUCCUUUCCUAGGCCUAGCCCGUGAGCGACUGAUGCACAGCCAUGAUGUGGCGGGAGCGAGUGCGCGAUUGUUUGGUUGCGUGGGGCAGAAAACCUGCUAGUGGCAAUGACGUAGGCUGCAGGUGCAUAGUGUUGUGCGAUUCUAAGGUGCUGGCCAUGGGUCACCAGCGAGCUUGCUGGCAAGUUCCUGUCCUUCCUUAUCUAGAUACUUGCACGGUGAUGUAGUCAUUGCUACAUUCUUUAGUCGGGGGCUUGCGUCGGCGUAGUGCGCUCGUUCCUAACCUCUAGCACUGCGACCUGUCUGCCUGAUCCGAUUUGCACGGUUUGCCACGGGUGUGGUGGCAUCAUGAUGAGGUUUCGGUAGCGUGCUCUGGUGGGGGCGCACUCUGGCGGUACUCUGCUGCGUAUGCCUGUGGAGCCUGACAAGGGAGAGUAGGAAAAUAGGAAAUUAUGAUGGCUUUGGGGAGAUGGGAAAGGAAGGAAGGGGAGAGAGGGACGGAGAAGAGGAGCCCCGAACCGGGGAUCAUGAUUGUCGGUCGGAAAAGGUGGCGCCAUAAGAAGCACGGCAAGCCCGAAUCCUAGAUGGAUUUCAAAGCUGUCAAAGCUGUGGGCGAGCCAAUAGUUUUGGGAAUUGCAGGAGUUUCAGCAUGCUGCAUAUCCACAGCUUCGCUUGGGACAGUUUCAGGUAGCCACGAGUUUGCAGUUCCGUCCGAACCCUCCGUUCGACGGAAGGUUUAGGGUUAAAAGAGCCCUUAGUAGCAAUCGAUGUGGGAAAUCUCCACGUAUUUUUUAUGGGUGAUACAAAGUCAUGCGGCCGGCCCAGGUUUCAGGUACACCUAGGAGUUCUGAUUUGCACGUGCUGCCUGUCGAAGACACAGAAGGCUCACCUUCUUUGGAGUCAGGCAACGCACGGUCGUCGAUCGCACGCACGUCAUCCCUUCGCCAUAUGGGCGCCUGAAGGCUUUGAUGAAUGGGUGGUUGCUCAGGUUGGAAUGUUGAACGUUGUGAAUAAACUUGGCGUCUUGCACAACACUGCUGAGCCGCGGGUCGUGGGAGCCAACAGGUCAUAUCCUACUGACCCGCGAGCGACUAAAUGGCAGCCUGAUGCUGCAUGGCUGUCGUGCUGAACGUAUGGGAAGCAUUAACGAAGAGGACUGUGUGGUCAUUUAUACACCAAGUCAUGGACCUCAUAGGACUAAUUUUUUCCUUCACGCUGCUAACGGAAGCAUGAUGUUCACAUCAAGUGGGUUGAACGCCUCGCGUGUGGUUGUGGUGCAUCAUUGUGUGUCAACGGUACUCCGCUUCCAAGGUGCAUUAUUACCGCUUGUUUACGUCUUAGGGUGAAACCGGCGGGUGCGCACGGAAAGUUAGUGUUGGGCGUUGGCGACAUGGGGGCCCUCGUAGGUGCGUGUGCACUCUGCAUGAAUGCUUUUCCAACGUCAGCUAUCGCCGUACGUGCAGCACGAGAACAGGCGCAGCUGGCGUCGUGCUGGUACGCACGUCACGUGGCUCGGCAUGCGCAUGUACGGCAAAUGCUGUAUGAUGGUCUCCCGGACACGGGCAUUUGCGUUCCAUUUCACCGAAAACCUCAUUCCGUGUGUAUGCACGGUGCUCUGUUGUGGGAUCCGCUAUCGUACAAGUCCUGUAGGACCGUCGUAGUCGUAUGCAUCAUCACCGUGCUGCGUUAGGUUGCUGACAUGGCCAGGAGCUUUAUACGAUCAUACGUCUGGCAUUUUAGGAGUUGAGAACAAUGUUGCCGCAGGUAUGCACGCUGAGCCACUUUUUUCUGUCACGCUGCUGUGUUUUCCACGUCUGUGCAACAGUUCCGGUACGACGCACCGUUCUGGUACGACGUAGCUAGCCACGUGGAUACAGUAUUCUUGACAAAGCUGUAGAUCGACGAGUUUAUUUAUGUGGGAUGGUAGAACUGAGAAGUAAGUCCUGUUGUGCAAGGUCUGUUUGUGAGUAUUGCUACUUUGGGGGUAGAAAAUUUCGGAUUCGCUUGUGCUCACGUACGAUUGUAGUACGGCGAGAGGACAUGGUAAUUCGCGUCUGGUGCUUGUAAUAUCUCCCCAUUACACUGCUGUAAGACGGCGCAGAUUUGUGUUGCAGUGAGCAGAUGAGAAAGAUACUGCUGUCUUAGAAACAGCCUCCUUUUGUAAAGCGCAGCGCAAAUGGCAACGCUUAAACACGGCGCAGAGCUGCCGGUCUGCCGGUUGCAAAGAGAGUGGACCCAAAGAGAGUGG